ACCAGCGCCUGACUCUCUGUCCAGCGUCUCUCCCUCUUCCUCUCCGCUACUCUUCUCCCAUUCCUCUCUCACUGCCGCUCUACCAGCCGUGCCUCCGCCGCUCCUCCUUGUGGUCGCCGGCAACUGGAGCACCGAUUCACCUAGAUUUGCCCUAUAUUCUUAGGCAUCAUAACUAUUCUCAGUUCAAAACUUGAAACCCUAACCUACAGUUUCAAAUUCGACUCUCUCCAAUUCUCUCUCUAUAUAUAUAGGUAGGUGUGUAUAUAUAUAUAUAUUAUAUUUGUGAUGGGUAGGGUAUAUAAUUAAGGGAUUUUUUCUGAACCCACCAACACCGUCCAACGCCCUACAAUGGCAUCGGAGAACGAAGACAAACCCACCCCCUCCUCCAUCAAUCGACGAUUGACUUUACCCCAGGUAUGUCUAUAUUUCGUCCUCUCUGUCUUUGUCUAUGUCCCUCUCUCUCUAUCUCUCUCUCUCUCUGUGCAUCUUCUUUCAUUCGCACACUUUGACACAAACCCAGCCCUAUGUGGGUGUGGGUGUGGUUCGUAGGCGGUGAUCAAGAUUUUUGGGGGUAAUGGAAUUGAGUUUUUCCAUGGUGGAAGAGAUGGGUUUUUGUGACCCAACUUGGCUUCUUAUUUUCGAGUUCUUCAAGCAAUUCCUAACAUUUGCACAAGAUUUGAUCUGAUUGUCACUCUCUGUUUUUGCCCUCUGUGAACUGAAACCAAUGUUAGAUUUUCACUUUCUCAUGUCUAUGCUCAGUGAUAAUCUUUUUCUUGUAUAGUAUUAGCCUUUAGAUUUUUUGGGUUGUGUUUGUUUUUUUCCUGGGGUUGAUUCUAGUUUUGAGCUUUGAUCUCAUAGUCACUCUGUUUUGGCCUCUGUGAGCUGAAAACAAGGUUAGAUUUUCACUUUGUCAUGUCUUUGUUCAAUGAUAAUAUUGUUCUUGUCUAGUAUUAGCCUUUAGAAUUUGAGGGUUGUGUUUUUUUUUUUUACUAGGUUAAUUCUAGUUUUGAGUUUUAUCUCAUAGUCACUCUGUUUAGGCCUCUGUGAGCUGAAAACAAGGUUAGAUUUUCACUUUCUCAUGUCUAUGCUCAUUGAGAAUAUUGUUUAUUUGUAAUAUUAGCCUUUAGAUUUUGUGGGUUCUGUUUCUUUUUUUUUGGGGGGGGUUAAUUCAAGUUUUGGGUUUGAUUUUGUAUGCACAUAUGUGAAAUUUUAGGAUCUAAUUAUCUGAAAAAUUUAUUCAUUUAAGGUCGUGUCUGUGUGUGUACUUUUUGAUGAUCUGAGCAAGUAUUGAUCCAUAUAUCAGUGUAUAAAAUUUGCUAAUUUGAAAUCAAGUAAGUUUGAAUCAGAGCAACUAGAGCUUUGGUUAUAUAAUUCUUGCUUGAAGAGCACAAACUUCGGUCUCUAAUACAGUCAAAGAGGAAGAAGAUGAAUCACAUUUUUAUUGGGUUGAUCAUCUGAGUUUUUUGGUCUUGAUAGAGCCUGUAAGGAAAUGUGAUGUUUUAAGCAACAUAUGAAGCAUAUUCACAUAAAAUUCCAUUUUUGUUAGAGCAUCUACAAUCUUUCACUAAUUCCUUUUUCACGCUGCAUUUCUUUAGCUUCAUUGCUUGAGGCGCACACUAUUUUUUAGGUAUGUCAAUUGCAUGCAAUUAUGAUUUGGAUUAUGAGCACUUGUAGUAAUGUUUGAUCUGAUUUUGUUAGGGAUUUUUGAUCAAUAUCCCCUCGUGCUGUGGCAUUCUUCGAUUGAAUCUUACUAUGUAGUUUACAAGGAGAUUUAAGUAUAGAACAUGGACUGCCAUUGCAUUGACAUAUAUGUGAGAAGAAAGUUGGGGCUUCAGGUUCCUUGAUUCUGAUCGUUGACGUUAGGCGCUGAUUAUGUAACAUGUGCAUAUCAUUAGAAUUAUUUCUCCUUUGACUAUGACUUGGCGGUAGCAAUCGAUGCAAGUAAAAAUCACCAGGUGGCUGGCAUGCUUUUCCUUGUAUGAGAGAAAGCACGGAAAACCCCCUCCAUCCUGUAACAUAGGGGAAAAAACUUUCCCCUGAAUCAUGAAAAUUAUAUAUAUUACUGAUGAUAUUUUUUCUUUGGGGCAUUCCUCUCCUGUUUUGGAUUUCUUGGUGCAUACUUUUACUUGCUAAUGGUUCUAUUAUGUAAUCAUAUGUAUUAUGUGUCCUAAUCUCUAAACUUACACACUGGGCGUUGUAUAUUCUUACACACCUUUUUCACCAUCAAGUAUUUUUGUAGCAUUGGCAUUGCGUUUCGAUGUGUCUAGGGGGAAAGAAAGCCAGUAUUUCAAGAGCGCUUUUCUAGGAUAUACCAUUGGUUUAGUCCUUGCUAUUAUUGUCAUGAAUUGGUUUCAAGCUGCACAGAACCUGAACAUCCAAGUGACAAAUUGAUGAAGAACAAUUGUGAAAGGACCUUUAGCCCAACAAUAGUGUCUCUAGCAUCAGCAUCAGCACCACAAUUGUUAUUAAGAUUUUCUUUAAUUUGGAUUUUAAUUGUUGGUUUGGAUAGUAUAUGUAUUUGUUGGAUUAUACUAUAUUUAUGGAUUUUUAUUUUGUUUGAUAUGUAUGGUUAAUAGUUAAGUUUUGUAUGUGGUUGAAAAUUGAAUGGUACAGGUUGUAAAGAAAUAUUUUUAUUGAA
Camellia sinensis is the source of this 2638-nucleotide non-coding RNA. The record is from RefSeq and is a predicted model, not a curated record. NCBI's taxonomy places the organism in Eukaryota, Viridiplantae, Streptophyta, Magnoliopsida, Ericales, Theaceae.